This is a microRNA precursor of Lepisosteus oculatus (spotted gar), 80 nucleotides long. It matches the Rfam family "mir-27 microRNA precursor family". The record is from Rfam. NCBI's taxonomy places the organism in Eukaryota, Metazoa, Chordata, Actinopteri, Semionotiformes, Lepisosteidae.
UGAAGGCACAGAGCUUAGCUAAUUGGCGAGCAUUGUUCCUAUCAAUAUAUUGUUCACAGUGGCUAAGUUCAGUGCCCGAA